GGGGGGGGGGGGGGAGGGCUGGGGGGAGGGGGACAGCCGAGUUCUUACUUAAUGAGGACGGACUUUCGGUUUGGGAGGAUGAAAAAGCGUUGGAGGUGGUUGCACGACAGUGUGAAUGUAAUGAAUACCACAGAACUGUGCACCUAAAAAUGGCUGAAUGGUAAAUUUUAUGUUUGUGCAUUUUACCACGAUUUAAAAAAACAAAAAACAAAACCAAAAACAAAACCGAAAUGCCUCCAUGCACCCAAGAGCUCAUCCUGCACGGGGAUCUACACACCAAGACUACCUGGAAGGCCCCUGCACCAUCCAACCGGAAGUAUUUGUCUCCUGGGCGGGCUUGCGUGGACCUGGCCAGAAUGGCCUCGUGCAGCUGGGCCUUGAGACCAGUGAGUGAAAUCUGGGCGCUUCACUUACCUGCAAAGAGACAUCACAGUGGCCAGUGGGAACGCUCAAGACUCGAGUGGCCGGGCAAACUGUCCUGCGGGGCCUUACGGGCUUGGAAUUCAGGGCCACAGGAAGUGGGGAGAGGACCUGAAUGUUCCAUGGCCUCCUGGAGAGAAGCCUCACAGCCGGCAGUACACCCUCCUAGUGGCCUCCCAGAGGCUCCUCUUCCGGGAAGCAGGGAGUAGAGGGCGGGGGCUGUUCACUGUAGCCACAGUGACGCUGCUUUUCCAGAUUCCCAAGUCUGCCCGAGACGGCUUCGGACAGACACGGUGCCCCUGUGCAGUGCAAAGCCUCCAACAGAUCCUCUUUAAGGUUAUUGGGGGUCUGCUCUGUCCCAGGGAAGGACACGGCAUCCCGACUACUGGCCCUACCCCAUCCCCACUGUGGCCUCACUAGAGAGUGAAAGCAGAAAGGAAAAGGAGGCUCAGAGAGGUUAAGUGACAUGCUCAGGGUCACACAGCUGAUAACCUCAGAGCCAGGACCGGAAACCCGUCACUCUGACCACAAAACUCACACUCUCCUACAACUGUGUUUCUCAACUAGGAGUGGUACAGGGGCAGAGCGCAACACCCGUAUGGAUUCUUCAGUAAACCCAGGGACUUCGGGCUGGCAUCCGUCCCAUCUUCUGAGUUCACUGGCCCCCACAAUUAAGGAAACAUUGGUGGAAAAGUUCAAGAAGGUUAUGUUCCAUCUGCCACUUUGGGGAGAAGGUACCGCCCCAUCUUGUGACGUGCUUCACGACGACUCACCAAAUGAAAGGAUAAGUCCGCUGGAACAGGUCGGCACGGGUGUCCUUUGUGGCUGCCUCCCAAGCCCCGCAGGUUGGCAAUAUGAACGCCCCAAGGUCCCGCUCAUUUGUUAUCUGAGUCACAGCAGGGUGGGAGGGGGCAGGCAGGGCAGGGAGCCGUGUGCCCAGGUGGCAGAAGGUAGAGCUGAAGCCCAAAGAGGCCAGGGGCCCGUAUGCGCAGAACGAAAAGGGGGGAAGUAGUAAGUGUGACACAGGAAAAGUGAAGAGACCCCCGAAAAGACUGCUUUUUUGUGCCUCCAUUUUUUAGGUAUACUUCACGCCCACUGCAGAGCCCAACGCGCGGCUUGGAUUCACAACCCUGAGAUCAAGACUUACACUGAGAUAAGAGUCAGAUGCUUAACCGACUGAGCCACCCAGGCGCCCUUUGCUGCCUCUAUUCUGGCUGGGGCCCACACCCUGCCUUACACGUGCCUUUUAGGACAGAUAAUAUAUGUCUUCCUUAUAAAGGUCAAGGAGUUAAUGAUUUCUUUGGAAUUUUCCAGCACAACAGAUAACAUCUAAGGAGUGACCAGGUUGGGCAUCAUUCCCAAGACCACUGAGCCACCAAGACCCCUGGCUCCGGGGCAUUAGUGCCUUACAGAGGACCUCUAAACACUCGCCUUUGUUCCUGGAUGCCUGAGAAGACGUGUGCACAGGACCACAGUCCUCAGUAAAAACCCCAGAGUCCAAGCAAAGACCCUCUCUCCUUUCCGAGUCUCCCAGACACGGUCUGUCCCUGCACUCUGUGUCUGCAAGAAACUCCACCCUCACCUCCUGCUGGCCCGAAUUUGAUGUCACUCCUGCGAGAACCCAAGUACCCUCUUGUUUGGUUCCAUGAGACCCCCUCUGGGUCCUCAGACCCAGCCAGCCUGCAUUAAGGGGGGGUGCCCUGUGGCCCCAGCGCCUCCUGCUUCUCUGGACUUGACCCUGAUCCCGGCCACCCAGCCAUCACCAGGCAGUGUCUGGGAGAGAGAACGCCCGCUGCUUCUCUCACUUGCCCCGGCGGGGAGAGGGCCUAAAGAGGGGUGCAGCAACUCCCUGAGGCGCUGGAGCCUGGGGCGCCCCAGGGAUGACAGAGGCACCGCCCCGGCCCCUGGGGGUAGUGGUCCUUUGUGCCUCCCAGGCUGAGUCCCUGCACCCUUCCAUCAGUCUGUCCAUCUGACACACGGGGACCCGGCCACCCCAGGGUGAGGGGGACAGGAAGGUGCUUCUGAGAGCAUAGACCCGGCAGACGCUCUGUGUGCUCAGGGGCUCUAGGACCCACAGGGGAGGCUGAGCAGGUGGGACUCCCUUCUUCUCUAAGGAGGGCUGUUGUUGGGCUCCUCAGUAAGACUCCCCCUGACGAGCGAUUAAGCUACUAAAAACCAUUUGAGGCCCCGCCCCCCCAUGAGGUGUCCAGUCGUGACCCCCAGGGCUGCACUGCACCAAGACCUCAUCGUUCCUCUUUGGGCCUCCCUACAGAAGGCCCCUUGAGACAGAAGAGCCCGGAAGAAAACGCCAAACAACAGUGGCUGAGCAAGAUGAAAGUUUCGUUUUCUUGCACUCUCAAGACGUUUACAGGUGGCCGGGGCUCGUGCGGCAAGCAGUGUCACAGUGCCAGGACCCUGAGCUCCUUGUAUACUGUGGCUCUGCCGUGCAGUCUUCAUUUCCAACAUCAUCACCUCAUGGUCCAAAAUGGCUGCUAACGCUCCUGCCAUUAGAUCUGCAUUACAGGCAGCAGAAGGAGAAAGGGGAGUAGGGUGUGUCUUGCCCUUUAAGAACCUUUCCUAAUGUCAAACACUAUUUUUACAUCCAGGCCAAAAUUUAGUCAUGUGGUCACACCGAAGUAUAAUGGAGACUGGGAGGUAUCUUGAUUCCAAGCAGCAAAUGCCCAGAUCGCCGUGAGCGUUCGACGUGAUGAUUGGUUUUCCACCUGCAAAAGCUGACUGUCACAGCCUGGAAGUGUCCACAAGAUGAGCUGGAAUGUGCCUGGAAGGGGGUGGCCCAGGUCCUCUGAGACAAGAGGCAGCUGAGGCGACAGACACAAAGGCCACGGAGGGGGCAAGGAUAGGGCACCCAAACCGGGGGUGGAUUCUAUGGGGAAGGGACAUGGAGGCCUGGUGGAGAGGGACAGGGACAGGGAGGAGAGGAUAGCGUGUUGCUUUUCCUCGAAACUCCUUCUAUGGCUUUCUUUUCCCUGCUGUGAUCCAGGCCUGGGGCUGGGCGCGGGGGAACGUGUCUGGAAGCAAAGGGCACAUACAGGCAGUCAGCACGUGAGGUCCCCACCCCGCUCCCUUCCUGUCCCCUCGGCCCCCACCUCUGUGAAGUGGCCCCAGCAGUCAGGCAGCAGGGAAGUGUGUGCCUGUGACAGAGCGGAUUUCCCCGUCUUUCUCCCGGCCUGAGGAAGCCCCCAUGGGGGGCCUGCUUUUCCUGGAGGACUGAGCCAGGGGGCAAGAAGGACGCUCUAUUUCGAGAUGGGGGCUCAAGCUGUUUCAUACAAAAGACAUGUGUCCUUAGUGGUGAAGCGCAGGAUUCUGGGUCAGACAGCCUUUGCUCAGAUCCGAGUCUCACACCUACCAGCUGUGUGACCACCAACGAGUCGCAUAACCUCUCUGGGCCCCGUAUUCCUUACCUGCAAAACCAGGAGUUGUGAGGUGAAGCGAGAGGCUUUAUAACAGGCCUCAGAGCAGCCGAAGUAAGCGCUCAGUGAAGGCGAUCAGUGUGAUCGGCACCGAGUAUGAUCAGUGACAAUGACAGGAAAUAUGAGGGAUUCUUGCUUUAUGGCUGAGGGCACGGGCCACAGGACAGACAGCCUUGGCUUCUCCUGGCGAGGCAGAGACGGCAGAGGGUGGGGUGGUGAGGCUUGUUUGGAAGGCCCCGCCCGGCCUUCCUGCCCUCUGGCAUCCCCCCCACCCUCCCCGUGGGACCGAGCCCAAGCUCUGAGGGGGGCGGGGCUGGCCCCAGGCUUCUGGGGUCCCUCUGAUCCCUGAAGCCUCAACUGCUGCGGAGAGCCUCCAGGGCCGGAGUAAACACUGGAACGCCUCAGGGCGCUGCUUGGGGCGCGAGCACCGGGAAGCCAACACAGUCUUCCUCUUGGGGCUGCCAGGCCUCGGGCCACCGUCCACUCCUGCCCCCGGCCGGCCCCGGACCAAGACCCUCAGGGGCCUCCACGGUCUCAGCGCGCCCAGGCCCAGGCCCAGUCUGCUCUCUUGGUAUCUGAACCCCUCUCUCAUGGGUUCCUGAUGAGGACGACUUCCUCCCUCAGGCGGGAGAGGAAGCAGCCCGGCCGCCCUCCUCCCAGGGCAGGACCCGGCGUCUCUCUGUUCCUCUAUGUGUCAGGCUGGCUGUGAGGGCCACAGUGUCUCCACCUGCAUCUUGUCAGGGCCCCAGGGGGUCCACGGAGGGAGGCCCAGGGCUCAAGGCCCAUCGACCCGGCUUCAAAUCAGUUCUGCCAUUUCCAGGCUGUGCAGCUUUGGACAAGUCCCUCACCCUCUCUGAGCUCACUUCAUCGGUAAACCGGAGAUAACUGGGAUUCUUGUGAGGCUGUGAAUGACAUCUGUUGAUUUGUGUGUUUCUGGCCGUUCAGAUUUUCCUGCUUUCCACAAGCACUCGCUGGGCAGCCCCCGGUGCCACGUCCUCAGCUCGCAGAGGGGAGCUUCUAGGGCCCGCCUGGCCCUCAGGGGGUGCCCGCUUCAGUGGGGGAGAUGGCAGGUGACAGGCGGUCAGGACCCGUAGCUCUGGCUGCUGUGACUACCAGGCCGUAAUGUGGGAGGAAAU
Long non-coding RNA from Lynx canadensis (Canada lynx), 4987 nucleotides. RefSeq lists it as uncharacterized. The transcript has 3 exons. The record is from RefSeq and is a predicted model, not a curated record. NCBI's taxonomy places the organism in Eukaryota, Metazoa, Chordata, Mammalia, Carnivora, Felidae.